Long non-coding RNA from Mus musculus (house mouse), 541 nucleotides. RefSeq annotates it as predicted gene, 39790. Lineage: Eukaryota; Metazoa; Chordata; Mammalia; Rodentia; Muridae. The record is from RefSeq and is a predicted model, not a curated record. The transcript is spliced from 3 exons.
GCGGGCAGUCGGAGCCUGCAGCGCACAGGGCGAGAGCCGGGCCGUCAGCGCCGCUUGGCCCAGCCCCGGAGCGCCUCCCGUCGCCUGAGGACCCCAGCCGGCGAGCCAGAGACCCGGCAGCCCUAGACAGCACGCUCCUUUCCGUAAGCUGGGGCGCCGUGAGGCCGAGGGCCUGCAGCCUUGGCUGGGCGCUGCGCUCUCCCCGCUCGCGGAGAUCCAGCGGAUGGUGUUAUUACCAACGAGAAGGAGCUCCGCGCGGGGUGGCCGGCUGGAACCCAACCAGCGAGGUGACCUGGCCUCUCUCCCGGGCUCUAAGGAGACAACUUGGUUCUCCAGCAUCCCUGCCACCCGCUUCCCACCCCAGCUCAGUCCAGUGUAGCAGCACUAGAACCCAGACCCGGAGAGGACGGUGUGAGUGACGGCUGAGGCUGUUCAGUCCUCUGUCUAGCGGCACGACGGACAACCCUACCCCCUGACCCGCACUAUUCGAGCGUUGCGACCCAGCACUCACCCAGCAGCACCCCCAGGGUGGCGGGCCCGG